GUGGGGAAUUUUGGACAAUGGGGGCAACCCUGAUCCAGCAAUGCCGCGUGCAGGAAGAAGGCCUUCGGGUUGUAAACUGCUUUUGUACGGAACGAAAAGGCUCUGGUUAAUACCUGGGGCACAUGACGGUACCGUAAGAAUAAGCACCGGCUAACUACGUGCCAGCAGCCGCGGUAAUACGUAGGGUGCAAGCGUUAAUCGGACUUACUGGGCGUAAAGCGUGCGCAGGCGGUGCUGUAAGACAGGCGUGAAAUCCCCGGGCUUAACCUGGGAAUGGCGCUUGUGACUGCAGUGCUGGAGUGUGGCAGAGGGGGAUGGAAUUCCGCGUGUAGCAGUGAAAUGCGUAGAUAUGCGGAAGAACACCGAUGGCGAAGGCAAUCCCCUGGGCCUGCACUGACGCUCAUGCACGAAAGCGUGGGGAGCAAACAGGAUUAGAAACCCGAGUAGUCC
Molecule: ribosomal RNA, 450 nt
Filed under: uncultured bacterium
Lineage: Bacteria
Description: partial 16S ribosomal RNA
Rfam family: Bacterial small subunit ribosomal RNA
Source: RNAcentral